GGCUAGACCUUGCAGUAAUGCAGUUAACACAUUAAGUGUGCCGCCUGGGGAGUACGGUCGCAAGAUUAAAACUCAAAGGAAUAGACGGGGACCCGCACAAGCGGUGGAGCAUGUGGUUUAAUUCGACGAUACGCGAAGAACCUUACCUGGACUUGACAUAGAAAGAAUAACGCAGAGAUGUGAUAGUGCUAGCUUGCUAGAACUUUCAUACAGGUGCUGCACGGCUGUCGUCAGCUCGUGUCGUGAGAUGUUGGGUUAAGUCCCGCAACGAGCGCAACCCUCGUGUUUAGUUGAUAACAGUUCGGCUGAUAACUCUAAACAGACUGCCUGGGUAACCAGGAGGAAGGUGAGGACGACGUCAAGUCAUCAUGGCCCUUAUGUCCAGGGCUACACACGUGCUACAAUGGGGUAUACAAAGAGCAGCGAUACUGUGAAGUGGAGCAAAUCUCAAAAAUAUCUCCCAGUUCGGAUAGUAGUCUGCAACUCGACUACUUGAAGUUGGAAUCGCUAGUAAUCGUAGAUCAGCAAUGCUACGGUGAAUACGUUCCCGGGUCUUGUACUCACCGCCCGUCACACCAUGGGAGUUGAACUCAUUCGAAGCGGGGAUGCUAAAGUA
Molecule: ribosomal RNA, 616 nt
Filed under: Arcobacter sp. ASMA1501
Lineage: Bacteria; Pseudomonadati; Campylobacterota; Epsilonproteobacteria; Campylobacterales; Arcobacteraceae
Description: bacterial SSU rRNA
Rfam family: Bacterial small subunit ribosomal RNA
Source: RNAcentral